Molecule: long non-coding RNA, 692 nt
Filed under: Monodelphis domestica (gray short-tailed opossum)
Lineage: Eukaryota; Metazoa; Chordata; Mammalia; Didelphimorphia; Didelphidae
Description: lncRNA (ENSMODG00000039393.1)
Source: RNAcentral
ACUAUGGAGAUAACUAUGUGGUUUGAUUUAAAUGGACUUCCUUGACAGCUUUCACUCGAUCAUAUACUAGAGAAAAACAAAGAGAGUCUAUGAUGGUGUCAACAAAGACAACAAGCAACAAAGACAACAAAGACACAAAGAAAAAUCAUGAAAAGAAAUCAGAAAUGUGAUUCAUCCCAGGUGAAAUUCCUGUUAUGAUAUAUCUCUUCAACCUACCAACAGAAGUAUUAUAAAGCAAUCCAGAGAGUAGAAGAGAAAAGACCCAAAGAGACAGUCCUCAAAGUCCAGUGUCAAGACAAAAGUCAAGAUGACCAGCGAUGGCACAGGAUGCAACAGGUGAUUGGGCAUCUUUGAUGUCUGUCCAAACUUUAAGCUCUCCACAGUGCCUGCUUCAACCUCCUGAUAAUAAAUUCUUCUCAUGCACUCAGCAUCUCACCAAGGAAAGCCUUCACGUCCCUCUGGCAGAAAUCCCCCUAACUCACCAAAGAAUUUGAAGCAUGGCAGUUUCACCUGGAUUCGCCCCCUUAUGGUGCCUCUGCAUGUUACAGCUUUUUGGAGUCACAGCUGGCCAUGAUGGAAACGUUAAUCACAGCUGGUGGCUGAGGUUCAUGGCUCCCUCCAUUCCAGGAAUUCUAGGCUGCAGCAGGUUAUGCCAAUUGGAGAUCAGUGCAAUUCUUCUGAGGGCUUCUUAG